Molecule: ribosomal RNA, 497 nt
Filed under: uncultured bacterium
Lineage: Bacteria
Description: partial 16S ribosomal RNA
Rfam family: Bacterial small subunit ribosomal RNA
Source: RNAcentral
GAUGAACGCUGGCGGCGUGCCUAAUACAUGCAAGUCGAGCGAACGGACGAGAAGCUUGCUUCUCUGAUGUUAGCGGCGGACGGGUGAGUAACACGUGGAUAACCUACCUAUAAGACUGGGAUAACUUCGGGAAACCGGAGCUAAUACCGGAUGAUAUUUUGAACCGCAUGGUUCAAAAGUGAAAGACGGUCUUGCCGUCACUUAUAGAUGGAUCCGCGCUGCAUUAGCUAGUUGGUAAGGUAACGGCUUACCAAGGCAACGAUGCAUAGCCGACCUGAGAGGGGGAUCGGCCACACUGGAACUGAGACACGGUCCAGACUCCUACGGGAGGCAGCAGUAGGGAAUCUUCCGCAGUGGGCGGAAGCCUGACGGAGCAACGCCGCGUGAGUGAUGGAGGUCUUCGGAUCGUAAAACUCUGUUAUUAGGGAAGAACAUAUGUGUAAGUAACUGUGCACAUCUUGACGGUACCUAAUCAGAAAGCCACGGCUAACUACGUG